UGUCGGAUUACUGGGCGUAAAGCGAUGCGUAGGCGGUAUAGUUAAGUCAGGAUGUGAAAUCCCCGGGCUCAACCCGGGAACUGCAUUCCAAACUGGUUAUCUAGAGUGUAGGAGAGGAAAGUAGAAUUCCUAGUGUAGCGGUGAAAUGCGUAGAUAUUAGGAGGAAUACCAGUGGCGAAGGCGACUUUCUGGACUAUAACUGACACUGAGGCACGAAAGCAUGGGGAGCAAACAGGAUUAAA
This 242-nucleotide ribosomal RNA is filed under the name uncultured bacterium. Its description in RNAcentral is "partial 16S ribosomal RNA". It matches the Rfam family "Bacterial small subunit ribosomal RNA", at positions 548 to 782 of the family's 1533-position model. The record is from RNAcentral.